Molecule: long non-coding RNA, 448 nt
Organism: Suricata suricatta (meerkat)
Lineage: Eukaryota; Metazoa; Chordata; Mammalia; Carnivora; Herpestidae
Exons: 3
Source: RefSeq, a predicted model, not a curated record
GGAAUGCACUGGACACACAGGUGGUGGCCCAGAAACCUUGUCCUGGAAGCCAGGGGACCUGCUCAGGUGUUACUGGAAGUGGGGAGACAGUCACCCAUGACCAAGGGCUGCACCUGCACACACCAUGGAGGAAGGAAAUCAUGAAAACGGUUGUUCCCACAAGACUUGGGGAUAAAAAGCCACAAGAAUGGAUUGGAAGAAUAAAUUUGAAUUCUUGAGGAGCAUCCCAGAAAUAUCUAUGGUUAACUUCAGAGCAGCGACCUGGUGAAUCAUUGCCUGAUAAGACAGAUUGCUUUGGACAAGUGCAUGUUGGUUUUGAUAUCCAGAUCACCUUCCACCUAGUUCUGCCACACAGUGCAGACUUGUCUGCCACUGAGGGUCAGGAUUAUAACUGCCUCUAAUUGUUUUCCCAUCUGUUGUAAAGAAGAAAUAAAUGUUUAUGGGUGGA